CUAGUAUUUAGGUACUAGUGCAGCCUAGGCCCCUUUUCUCAGGGAUAGCCUAACAUCUGACCGCACCCUCUUUGCUUUUUAAAAAAUGCCUUUUCACUCUUUAAGAUAAAUCCUCUAUUAUACAAUCUGCCACUAAUUGUGUGUUAAGACUGUUUUUCUCUCGAAAGCUGAUGCAUCCUGCUCUCAACGUGGUUUAGAAAGUGGGCUGUUACAGUGCUGGAUUAAUAAAAGGGGCCUUUAUGGUUUGUGAAAGAAUAUCUCUGUGCUUAGGCAGGAAACUUUUUGAUCCACAGAAAAGCCAGACGACAUCUAGAGCAAGAGAAACCAACUUGAGGAGCAUGCAUAUUGUGAUACCCUCAGUGGUUUCUUUUACAAUGUGUUCUGCUCCAGCUAGUGAAUUUUGUUUAACUGACCAGUGAAAGAAAAGCACAAGUUUGUUCAUAUUUUCCAUGAUGAAAAUCAGGCCAAAUUAAUGACCAUCAUAAUCAGGUUUAGAUGCACAGACUUUAGGAGCCCUCACGCAUGCCAAGUGUCAGGCUGACUGAUUGAAAAUAUUGCUAUGGACAUCUUUUGAUCUGCAUUACUGCUGACAAAAACUGUGCAUGUGUAGAAAGGUCAUGCUUCACUUCUCUGUAGAUACCAGACACCUCUACUACCUCAACAGAGCUACUCAUUGGAGUGGGUACUAAUUUUAAGUAUUUACAAGAUCAGGAUGUCAGUCUCAAACUAUAGAAAGAUAUGAAAAUCUACAUUAUGUGUUGCCUAUGGACUUUUGUGGAGUUUAGGAUCGUUUUUUGGGUGUUUUUUGCAUAUUUUAUUUAAAAAGCUAGAAUGCCAAUAGCAUGCUGCUGAAUGAACUUUCCUUUUUUUUUUAGUUACACAUACACAGCACUGUGAAUUGGUGAGUGAUACAUAAGGUGUAUCACUUAUAUAUCACUUGUAGAUCUGUUUCUCC
This 955-nucleotide long non-coding RNA is filed under the name Chloebia gouldiae (Gouldian finch). RNAcentral's name for it is "Erythrura gouldiae (Gouldian finch) lncRNA (ENSEGOG00005004717.1)". Lineage: Eukaryota; Metazoa; Chordata; Aves; Passeriformes; Passeridae. The record is from RNAcentral.